GAGUAUACAACAAAAAAAAGGAACCGAUGAAAUCUAAUUGCUGGCCAACACCAUUGUAAACACAUCUUGAAAAGGGGUAGGUUAAAUUUUUUAUGCCAAUUGUUUCAUUUUCAUCUAACUCUCUAUGCUUGUCAUGCUUAGAGAAGUUACUCGAUCUAAUCAAACAAAUUGUUGUUUUGGGUUCUGUGCAGUAACUUUUUGGACUUUUAAUAGUGGUCUUUUUAAGAAAAUUCAGUAAAUUGUCAAACUAAUAUAUCUACUGUUUCUUACUGGAUUUUUGACCUAAUUUUGACACCUUUGGCUUUGUUUGUUG
This 313-nucleotide long non-coding RNA is filed under the name Setaria viridis. RNAcentral's name for it is "long non-coding RNA (SVIR_LNC004768)". Lineage: Eukaryota; Viridiplantae; Streptophyta; Magnoliopsida; Poales; Poaceae. The record is from RNAcentral.